Molecule: long non-coding RNA, 220 nt
Organism: Solanum verrucosum
Lineage: Eukaryota; Viridiplantae; Streptophyta; Magnoliopsida; Solanales; Solanaceae
Exons: 3
Source: RefSeq, a predicted model, not a curated record
AAUUCUCUAUCAUUGAUAUACUUGGUGAUGAUGGACCGAACUGUGAGUUGGAAAGUUCAACUCAUGAAGGCCAUGUUGCAUUUUUGAUUGAAGGUUUAGGUAAAGUUGAAAUGUCUACCCCAGUCCAUUCACCGCAGCUACCUGGCAGACCCUUGGCAUAUGGUAGGCCCUCACCCCCAAGCGCAAGGAGAAAAGUUCUCUCAUCUGACUACCUUAACAA